Molecule: long non-coding RNA, 3591 nt
Organism: Pteropus alecto (black flying fox)
Lineage: Eukaryota; Metazoa; Chordata; Mammalia; Chiroptera; Pteropodidae
Exons: 2
Source: RefSeq, a predicted model, not a curated record
UCUCAGAAAGCACUAGAGCAAUGACUUGUUAAAUACCGGUAGUCAGAAGAGACUCGAUGCAUUAGAGUGCUUAAAUCACACCGGAGGACUGCUGGCUACAAACUCAAAUUCCUUGUGGAAAACUUGUAUGACAUUGCUUAAUGAUAAAUUGUCUCCAAAAGUGCAUUUCUCUAAUAUUAGAUUAUUAUGGCAUUACAUUGCUGGAUUUAAUGAUGGCUUUGGAGUGCUAACCAGUUCCAUUUUUCUAUUAAAAGCUUAGCGUGGUUAUAGUUUUAACAUACCGCGUUGUUUAUCAGUGUGUGUUUGUAAGAGGAAGAGCAUAUGUGUGUUUUCAAUGGGUAUAUUCGGUCAUUUAUUUAGUGAUAUUGGUUAAAUAAUAAUAUGUAAAAUGAGGCAUUAUAUAUAGUCUUCACUAAUACCUUGGAGGUAUUGCAGAUAAAGCAAUGAAGCAAUAACACGAGUUGAAAUAUUUUUGCUGGUGGAGGGUUUUACAUUUAAUUUGUAAAAAACUCAAUACCUAUGAAGUGCAAUAAAACGAGAUGUGCCUGUAUAGCACCCAAGGGUGCUAUAGGAUAUAUCGAAGAAAUGAAAGCUGCUAUUUUUAGUUAUAGGGAGAUUAACGUACCAUUUAUGUCUAGAGAAUUAGAGAGGAAUUUGGUCCAGGAUGUUCUCAUCUUCAGAGAGAGAGAGAGAGCACGCGCGCGCAAGCGAGCGCGUGAGUGAGUGAGCACGUGUGUGUGUGUGUGUGUGUGUGUGUAAUUUGGAAAUAUAAGGGCUCAAAGUUUAGAGAACAUUGGUUGUACAUUCGUGCCUUUUGUGUUUUAAGUUGUGUGUUUAUUCCUGUAGAAAUCAAUUAUCUGAUCAUGUACCAAGCAGUCAUUUGCUACAUAAAGGUGAGGCAAUCUUGUAGAAAACACACUGAAAGCCUAAAUUAAAUUGUCUCUGCCACCCCUUCCCUCUAUAAACUUGAUUGACCAAAACCCUUAACUAUUCCAUACUUUCAAUUUCCUAAUAAGAAAACUAUGAUAAUAAAACCUAUUUUAGAUAUAACCAAUAACUAAUAGCUGCCACAAUAGUCUCAUCAGCAAAAAUAGUAAUCUGCUGGCUCACUCAUACUAUCCUCUAAUCCUGUUUCCCAGAAGCAACUACUUCUUUUAGUAUCUACCUCUAUAUGUCUUAAACAAUUGUUUAUGUUGCUGUUUAUUAAUUUACUAUUUUAGACAUUAUCUACUCAGUAGGUGUUAUGGUAGAUGAGCAUUUAAUUUCUUCCAUCAACCUUCCCCUACUCCACCUUGACCUCAUUCUCCCAAUAUAGAAUGUAUAUCAUGUUUUGAAACAUUAAUAUGUAAAUACGUGCUUAAGUCAAGUAGUAUUCAUGAUAUGUUUAGUUUCUUGAAUAACCUUUUGUUCUUCUUGGACUUUACAAUUGUCUCUGAUUUUUAUUAAUUUUGUUGUCUUUGUUCCUGUUAAUUAUUUAUAGCUAUAAAAGAUUUGUCAAUUAUGUGUGAAAAAAAACUUCCAAAUCCUCAAACAUAUCAGCAAAUCUAUCAAUCCCAUUUAAUUCUCUUGACGUCUCCCUCCCUCAUCCUUUUCCUUGAAAUUUCCCUCUGUCGGCUCUCUGAUUUCUUGUCUUAGUAUAGCUGAACAUCUGUCAUCUUGGAACAUCCAUUUGCUUCUCUCCUGUUGUUUUAGGUCCUAAGAUAGUUAGUUAUUGUCUGUUUCCCUCCAGAUAUGUUCUUUUCCCCCUUCUGCCCUGCCCUAUGUCCUAGAUGCCUGGCCCCGAGGGACUGCAUCAUCCACGCCGUCUUGGCUAUGUUUCCAGUUGGGUUCAGGCAACAGACUAGUGGGAGAAGAGGGAGAUUGUACAUUCUUUCCUAAAUCUUCCCUACUUUAGCCCAUAUUUGAGGGGAAGUCCGUGGCUUUCACUGUCAAUAGAUUUCAAUAACAUUUGACUUUUUUAAUUAUAGGGAGAAUAAUGGCUUUUAGUUCUAAUGGCUUCCUGCUGUUGCUAGCCUCUUAGCGUUUCAGUGCCUUAUCAGUUCCCUUACUCCUCUGGAAGUAGUUACUUUGUUAAAGUUUUUUCUGGGUUGGAUUCAUUUUCCUUCUGGACCUUUAUUGGUUACAGAUUCCCUAGUUCCUGUAUUCCAUGUCUCCUCCCUUAGUUUCCUAAGAAAGAAUGCAUUAGAGAUAGUUAUCAAAUUCUUAGUUUUCUGGAAAUGUUCAUUCUACUCCCUCACACAUGAUUGAUAAAGUUUCAAUCUGAUUAUAUAAUUAGGCUUUUCCCCUUCAGAAUUUUGAAUGCAUUGCCUAAUCUCUUUAGAGCAUCUAGUAUUGCUGCUAAGUCUGACUCCAUUCUCGUUCGCAGCUGUUUCUGUGCCUCCUACUUUCUCUCUGGAAAGUAUGAGGCUCUUCCCUCCAUCUUUGGUAUUCUAAAAUGUCAUGAUAAUGAACUUUGUGUCUUUUUCUGUUGGUGUAGGUUCCCUUCGAUAUAAAGGCAUCCUUUUCAGUUCCUAGAAAGGUUGUCAAAUUUCUUUUUUAUAUGAUUUCUUUCCUUCCAUCACCUUUGUCUUUGCUUUUUGUGAAAGUGUAUAAUAGUUUGAUACUGGAUCUCCUAUCUCAAUACUCUUUUUUUAAACCUUAUUUCUUAUUUUACAACUUUUUACCUUCCAAACCGUCUAUUCUUUUUUUCAAAAUUUGCUAUCAUAUAUAUAACCUCCACUUCUUUUUUUCUCUGGUUUCUAUUGGAAGCUUUCCUCAAAUAUCAACGUGAGUGGAAUCCUUGACUGUCUAUUUACUUUUAUAAAUGAGUCACUAAUUGACUGGUUCGUUCAUUAUAUAUUGUUCAGACAAAAAGCUGGACUUUUCAUUGAGAGAUCCUGAAAUGUCAGUGUCUGAAGGCCUAUUUUUUGUUCUUCUUCAGAUACUCAUUUCUGGCAGCUGACAUUCUCACAAUGGGAGAAGGCAGCUGAUGGUCACACAGACCAAUAAACAUAUUUUUCACCUAAUUCCCUUUUUUUCAGCUCUGUGCCUCAUCCUGCUUUCACUUUUUAUCCUCAUUUUGAAGUCUUUUGGAUUUGAUUUCUCCAGAGAAUAAAUACUCAGUAUCCUGCUGUUUUGCUCUUCAAAUGCAUCCCUAGAUUCCGGUUUAUAAAAGAUGCUCUGGAUGGAGAGAAAUAAUACAAUAAUUAAAAAAUAAAGUCUAACUUAGCCAAAAUAACCUAUCACUGGCCAAGAAACAGCCUGCUAAAUUUCAUGAAAAAAAUAAACUAAAACAAAACUCAAUCAUAGUCUGCGACAGGCACUUACUAAUUAUUAAAGACAGUGUCUGAAUAACUUUCUGUUUUCCUAUACAAAUGUUCAUGUUUUGCUAUGGUAUUUCAUGUUUCUUUAUAUUUCCAUGUGACAAUAGAUUUCAAGAAGGAGAUAUUUAUAUAUAACUGUGUUUUCUAUAGAAUCUGUCAAGGAUUUUUUGUUCUUAUUGAUAAUCUAAUGGUUCUUCCUUCAUUGUUAGCUUUUACUGUGUUUCCUCUGAAAGUGGAAUAUAUUGAUAGUCUAACAUAAAUAAAUUUAAAAACUUUAUCAACUAUAAAA